RNAcentral lists this ribosomal RNA (300 nucleotides) under uncultured Lactobacillus sp. RNAcentral's name for it is "partial 16S ribosomal RNA". The stretch from base 51 to 300 matches the Rfam family "Bacterial small subunit ribosomal RNA", at positions 547 to 795 of the family's 1533-position model. Lineage: Bacteria; Bacillati; Bacillota; Bacilli; Lactobacillales; Lactobacillaceae. The record is from RNAcentral.
UGCACAAGUGGGCGGAAGCGAGUGAAAGACGAGGGAGCCAAGGGUUGUCCGGUGUCAUUGGGCGUAAAGGGCUGGUAGGCGGGUCGAGAAGGCGGGUGUGAAACCUCCAGGCUCAACCGGGGGACGCCACCCGAUACGGGUGGGACUAGAGUCCAGUAGGGGAGCGUGGAAUGCCUGGUGUAGCGGUGAAAUGCGCAGAUAUCAGGAGGAACACCAGCGGCGAAGGCGGCGCUCUGGGCUGGCACUGACGCUGAGGAGCGAAAGCGUGGGGAGCGAACAGGAUUAGAUACCCCUGUAGUC